Long non-coding RNA from Hippocampus zosterae (dwarf seahorse), 534 nucleotides. RefSeq lists it as uncharacterized. The transcript is spliced from 2 exons. The record is from RefSeq and is a predicted model, not a curated record. Lineage: Eukaryota; Metazoa; Chordata; Actinopteri; Syngnathiformes; Syngnathidae.
AUUUAUAGCGAACACCCACAUGAGUUGGCUUUGCGCUAAUGGGAAGCACAAGCGUGGCAAGUCAAGGGAGUUGCGCACGCUCAUUUUUCCGGUUGCUGACUAGGCGAAGCUCUCGGUUUCAGUCAACGCAAAAGGCCGACCUAACUGAACUCGUGAGCAGUGGUGAACAGGCUGCCGCAAUCCCUUUUAAGUGGCGUAUGCCCAAAUCAAUCAUCUAUAUUCUACUGUAUGUCAUGCUGUACCCGCGUUAGACGGCGAAAGAAAAAAAUAAAAAAAGUGCCAUUUAGCAGAGCUGGACAAUUACUUGACAUUUAAGAUUUAAUUGCGGGCAUGCAAGAGGCUAUGUGAAAAGUUUUGAAUAGUCGAGUUUGAAGCCAAUGAAUAAUCACUUUAUGAAUUGUGAUUUCAAUCUCAUAAUUUCAUUCAUAGUGGAGGGCUACCCUUUAUUGCAGGGGUGCUCUGUUGGAUGCAUGUACGAACCCAAAGCAAAAUAACUGACCUUUUGAAUUACAAGUAUGGGUCCUUGACAGUUUU